RNAcentral lists this ribosomal RNA (412 nucleotides) under uncultured bacterium. RNAcentral's name for it is "bacterial SSU rRNA". It matches the Rfam family "Bacterial small subunit ribosomal RNA", at positions 28 to 420 of the family's 1533-position model. The record is from RNAcentral.
GAUGAACGCUGGCGGCAUGCCUAACACAUGCAAGUCGAACGGACUCUUAUUUGUUCUUUGUCUCUGAUUCGUAAGGAUCAGUGCCAUGGAACAGUAAGAGUUAGUGGCGGACGGGUGAGUAACACGUUGGUACCUACCCUCUAGUGGGGAAUAACUUCGAGAAAUCGAAGCUAAUACCGCAUAAUAUCUACGGAUUAAAGCAUUUAUGCGCUAGAGGAGGGGCCUGCGCUGAUUAGCUAGUUGGUGAGGUAAAAGCUCACCAAGGCGACGAUCAGUAGCUGGAUCGAGAGGUUGACCAGCCACACUGGGACUGAGAUACGGCCCAGACUCCUACGGGAGGCAGCAGUGAGGAAUCUUCCACAAUGGACGAAAGUCUGAUGGAGCAAUGCCGCGUGCAGGAUGACGGCCUCGG